UGACUCCUGAAGUUCUUGGAUGGUUAAAAACAAAGACUCGGGUCUUGGGAUCUUUGUUGUCAUAACGAUACCGAAGGUCGUUUUGAAGAAGGGUGGUGGUUAUAUAAAAAGACAGAAAUGUAUGGAAGAAUUGUUUGCAAUUGAACCUCUGGUGGAAGGGAUCCUUUUGAGUUUCUAGGGGCUCAUACAUCAUGAAGAAGUUGGCGCUUUUCGUUUUUGUAGCAGUACUGAGCACAGUUAUGGCAACUUACGUAGUACCUUACUAUCCACCACUGACAGCACCCAUCGCUGCAGCUCCAUUUUAUAAUCCGCUAGUGUACUCUUAUAAUUAUGGAUAUACAGCACCAUUUUCAGCUCUUUGGCCUCUUUGGUAUGGAAAGUAAACAAAAUCUAAAGCUUGGAAAUUUAAAAAUUGGUUGUUUCGGCGCCAGAAAAGAAUGUUCACUGACGGUAAAAAAAAAAAAAAAAUGCAAAACAUCUUGCAAUCGAUAUGAAUAAAGUUUGUUGUAAACCAAUACUUUGACUAAAUGUUUA
This is a long non-coding RNA of Uloborus diversus, 534 nucleotides long. RefSeq lists it as uncharacterized. The transcript is spliced from 3 exons. The record is from RefSeq and is a predicted model, not a curated record. NCBI's taxonomy places the organism in Eukaryota, Metazoa, Arthropoda, Arachnida, Araneae, Uloboridae.